RNAcentral lists this transfer RNA (88 nucleotides) under bacterium HR21. RNAcentral's name for it is "tRNA-Leu". It matches the Rfam family "tRNA". From Rfam's summary of the family: Transfer RNA (tRNA) molecules are approximately 80 nucleotides in length. The record is from RNAcentral.
GCCCGGAUGGCGGAACCGGUAGACGCACGGGACUUAAAAUCCCGUGGGGCAGGCAGCCCCGUGCGGGUUCGACUCCCGCUCCGGGCAC